Non-coding RNA from Phasianus colchicus (ring-necked pheasant), 197 nucleotides. The record is from RefSeq and is a predicted model, not a curated record. NCBI's taxonomy places the organism in Eukaryota, Metazoa, Chordata, Aves, Galliformes, Phasianidae.
GGAAUGGAAGGAUUGCCAGGAGCAAGAAGAUGGAGCUGGACAGCACAAGAGCUCAUGCCACACGCAGCGCUCUCAUGCUCGCCUAUGGCCGCUUGGCACUGUGUGCCAGCAAGGAGCAGCUGCUCGCCCGCCUGGAGGUAGACAUUGUGGGCAACAUCCUGCUGCUGUACAGCUGCAGCUGCCGGGACUUGCGGAAC